AACGAGGCCGACCUGCGGCUGAGUUACCUGCGGAGGGAUCAUUACCGAGUUAUACAACUCAUCAACCCCUGUGAACUUACCUACAACGUUGCUUCGGCGGGAACAGACGGCCCCGUAAAACGGGCCGCCCCCGCCAGAGGACCCCUAACUCUGUUUUUAUAAUGUUUUUCUGAGUAAACAAGCAAAUAAAUUAAAACUUUUAACAACGGAUCU
RNAcentral lists this unclassified non-coding RNA (213 nucleotides) under soil metagenome. RNAcentral's name for it is "partial contains 5.8S ribosomal RNA, internal transcribed spacer 2, and large subunit ribosomal RNA". The record is from RNAcentral.